CUUAAGUCUUUUUUUUAGAAAAAAAAUGGUUAUAAUAAAAAUUCUUACAUCAUGUCUCUUCAGUAAUAGAAAUAGAAGUUUUGCAUCAUUUGGCCUAUAUUUGCGUAGAAGUCAAGUACAACUCGUCUACUUGGAUUCUUUGUACGAUCUGGGUUUCAUCAGGUUCCUUGAAAUUCUGCAAGUUCUUCAACUGUUUGUGGUAAGCCUCUGACACAUGAUUUACUUUGCUUCUUUUACCCCUUUUUUCCUUUUCUGCUCUG
RNAcentral lists this long non-coding RNA (260 nucleotides) under Olea europaea subsp. europaea. The record is from RNAcentral. Lineage: Eukaryota; Viridiplantae; Streptophyta; Magnoliopsida; Lamiales; Oleaceae.